CAGGCCAUCCAUCCAAGAUCAUCCAUCUGAGCUGCUGAAAACUGCCUCGGUACGGAUCUGUUAGAGCUUUGUGUCACUGACUGUAUUUCUGCAAAUUCCUGUUCCGUGUCACAUGGCUUAUGCAAGACUGAAUCCAUAAAGAUGCUGUAACCAUAAAGCAACCAGGACAACACACCUGGAGUGACCGAGAGCAGGAUGAAGAAAGAAUCGGACGAGAAAAUAUCAACUGGUGCCCAUGAGGAGACAUAUUGUUCUUGGACCUGCUUUUUCUGUUUAGUAAUAAGUGGUUUUAUGUGGUUACAUAAAAGUAAUUUAAUAUUCAAUCCACAACCUAAAUUUCCUACAUUUUCUUAAAAGGGUAGUUGACCCAAAAAGGAAAAUUCUGUCAUUUACACAAACAGUUUGGUUACAAACAUUUCUCACAAUAUCUGCCUUCCUGUUUAUCAGAACAAAGAAAUUUAUGCGGGUUUGUAACAACAUGAGAGUGUGUAAAUGAUGACAUAAUUUUCAUUUUUGGGUGAAGUACCCCUUUAACAUUUUUAUACCCAGGGGUAGGGGUGUGCAGCGGAGUCAGUAUUUGUAUCUGUAACAGUCUCAAAAUUAUUUGUAUCUGUAUUUGUAUUUGGAUGAAACCGGAAGUGGGUGGGUCUUAAACCGAAAGUUUGUCAUAUUACAUUAAAAUGGCAUUUUAAAUGCAUUUUUGCUUUUUAUUAUAAUUAUAACUUAAAUAACUGUAAAUAUUUAUUAAAAAUAAUAAUACAAAAUUUUAAUCAAAAAGACAAAUAAUUUGAUUCUCGUUAGUAAUACUCAUGGAAAGCAAACAACUCAUUUUUAAAGCCUCAUACAGCUUGUGCUAUGCAUCAUUGUAUUGUAGCAUUAAAAUAACAAACUUGAAAGCACGUUGACAAAACU
Paramisgurnus dabryanus is the source of this 912-nucleotide long non-coding RNA. RefSeq lists it as uncharacterized. The record is from RefSeq and is a predicted model, not a curated record. NCBI's taxonomy places the organism in Eukaryota, Metazoa, Chordata, Actinopteri, Cypriniformes, Cobitidae.